GAUGAAGAACGUAGCGAAAUGCGAUAAGUAAUGUGAAUUGCAGAAUUCAGUGAAUCAUCGAAUCUUUGAACGCACAUUGCGCCCGCUAGUAUUCUGGCGGGCAUGCCUGUCCGAGCGUCAUUUCAACCCUCAAGCCCCCGGGCUUGGUGUUGGGGAUCGGCGAGCCUCCGCGCCCGCCGUCCCCUAAAUCUAGUGGCGGUCUCGCUGUAGCUUCCUCUGCGUAGUAGCACACCUCGCAUUGGGAAACAGCGCGGCCACGCCGUUAAACCCCCAACUUCUGAACGUUUGACCUCGGAUCAGGUAGGAAUACCCGCUGAACUUAAGCAUAUCAAUAAGCGGAGGA
RNAcentral lists this unclassified non-coding RNA (343 nucleotides) under soil metagenome. Its description in RNAcentral is "partial contains 5.8S ribosomal RNA, internal transcribed spacer 2, and large subunit ribosomal RNA". The stretch from base 1 to 120 matches the Rfam family "5.8S ribosomal RNA", at positions 35 to 154 of the family's 154-position model. The record is from RNAcentral.